AUUGAACGCUGGCGGCAGGCUUAACACAUGCAAGUCGAGCGGGGUGAUGGUGCUUGCACUAUCACUUAGCGGCGGACGGGUGAGUAAUGCUUAGGAAUCUGCCUAUUAGUGGGGGACAACAUCUCGAAAGGGAUGCUAAUACCGCAUACGUCCUACGGGAGAAAGCAGGGGAUUACUUGUGACCUUGCGCUAAUAGAUGAGCCUAAGUCGGAUUAGCUAGUUGGUGGGGUAAAGGCCUACCAAGGCGACGAUCUGUAGCGGGUCUGAGAGGAUGAUCCGCCACUCUGGGACUGAGACACAGCCCAGACUCCUACGGGAGGCAGCAGUGGGGAAUAUUGGACAAUGGGGGGAGCCCUGAUCCAGCCAUGCCGCGUGUGUGAAGAAGGCCUUAUGGUUGUAAAGCACUUUAAGCGAGGAGGAGGCUCUUUUGGUUAAUACCCAAGAUGAGUGGACGUUACUCGCAGAAUAAGCACCGGCUAACUCUGUGCCAGCCGCCGCCGUAA
Molecule: ribosomal RNA, 503 nt
Filed under: uncultured bacterium
Lineage: Bacteria
Description: partial 16S ribosomal RNA
Rfam family: Bacterial small subunit ribosomal RNA
Source: RNAcentral